Molecule: ribosomal RNA, 253 nt
Filed under: uncultured bacterium
Lineage: Bacteria
Description: partial 16S ribosomal RNA
Rfam family: Bacterial small subunit ribosomal RNA
Source: RNAcentral
UACGAAGGGGGCUAGCGUUGUUCGGAAUUACUGGGCGUAAAGGGCGCGUAGGCGGCCUGCUAAGUCGAACGUGAAAUCCCUGGGCUCAACCCAGGAACUGCGUCCGAUACUGGUUGGCUUGAAUUCGGGAGAGGGAUGUGGAAUUCCAGGUGUAGCGGUGAAAUGCGUAGAUAUCUGGAGGAACACCGGUGGCGAAGGCGGCAUCCUGGACCGAUAUUGACGCUGAUGCGCGAAAGCCAGGGGAGCAAACGGG